UCAGAGCUGAAGUUAGUAACUUGGUGAAGUCAGUGUCCAGCAUUUCUAUCAUCAUUUAUUUCUGGAUUUUUCUUUUUACUUCUGUUUUACAUGAAUUGAUUUGACACUCACAUCUGCUUUGGACUGGUUCCAACUCAGAAAGCGACUAAGAGAGAAUCAACAUGUGAUCUCAUCUUUUUCUUUUUUCAUCAUGUCAAGGAAUAAAAACUCUAAGGAUUGUCCUGAAUACCUGAGAACAACCAGAAAAACAUCACAGCUGAGUCUGGACAGGACGUCACUCUGACAUAUCAAGCUCCAAACAACAACAUCAGAGCUGUACAUUGGAGCAGAGCUGACCUGGGAGAUGAAUAUGCCCUUGUGUUCCGGGAUGGUCUCUUUCUUCCAGACAACCAGCAUCCAUCUUUUAAGAACCGGGUGGAUCUGCAGGACAGACAGAUGAAGAAUGGAGACGUGUCUUUGAUUCUGAAGGAUGUGACGAUUAAUGAUGCUGGAACAUACGAGUGUCGUGUCUUCAUGGAACAAACAUGCUCAUGGAAGCUCAUCAGCAUCAUCUACCUUCAUGUUGAUCCUCCAGGUCAGACAGGAGGAGACACAGAGGAUGGAUCUCUUGGACUGAUCCUUCGUCUGUCAGUUCCUUCUGGUGUUAAUUAUCCUUAAACUACAUGAACAUUGUGUGACAUUUUGGAAGCUGUGAUCCAUAGUUGCAGGGGGUGGGGGCUGAUCAGGCAGAUUUUAUUCACUGUAAGUACAAAUGUAAUAUACAAUCAUAUACUGGAUAUCAUAUGUAUACCAUGUGAUACCACAUGUCUGAUCCAAAGGUAUUUCACAUCAACAUUUCUAGUCUCUCUAUCUUAUAUUUUUGCUCUUUACCUGACAGUGUCACCGUCAGUGUUGGUCAAGUUACUUGAAAAAAGUAAUCAGUAACUAAUUACUGAUUACUUCCCCCCAAA
This is a long non-coding RNA of Oreochromis aureus, 950 nucleotides long. RefSeq lists it as uncharacterized. The record is from RefSeq and is a predicted model, not a curated record. NCBI's taxonomy places the organism in Eukaryota, Metazoa, Chordata, Actinopteri, Cichliformes, Cichlidae. The transcript is spliced from 3 exons.